GCCGCUGCCCUUUGCCUCCGCCAACACCGUCGUCCGUGCGCGCCUUCCUUUGCGUCCGGCACCACCGCCGUCCGCGCGCGCCUCCCUUUACCUCCGGCACCACCGCCGUCCGUGCCGCCGCCCUUUGCCUCCGCCAACACCGCCGUCCGCGCCCGCCGCCCUUUGCCUCCAGCACCACCGCCGUCAGCGCCGCCGCCCUUUGCCUCCGCCCCCACCGCCGUCCACACGGCCGCCCUUUGCCUCCACCACUGCUCCCGUGCCUCUGAUUUGGAUAGAAGUCCCGGCAGUAGUGGUGCGGCGGGGGCAGGGAGAAGGCGAGGGCGGCGGCGGUGGGUGGUGGGGCCUGAAGAUGAGGCAGUCCUUCUAGGAGGAUGCCGGGGACGGGCAGCGCGACGAGGAUGGUGCGUCGGAGUUGGAGACUGGAGUGUGCUCCAGCAGCGGGUGGAGGGACUGCGGCACGGUGGUGGGGAGCAACGGGUUCGUGUCCAUGGCCGGACCACCCUGCCAUUAAACUCGAAUCGUUGUGUUGGAACAUGUCAUCCCUCAGCUAUGGGAGCCGAUGUUGGGGGAGGAGGGAGGCCCUUGCUGGGAUUGCAUUAGUGUGGUGCGGGUUGAGCUGGAGCUGGCUCCAAGCGAUGUUGGUUCAGGAUGAUGUGUGCGUGCAUUGCCAAAUAAAGAAGUAGGCAUCCAGUAGGAAAAAUAUUCAUCGAAGUUCUCAAGUUGAAGUCAAAUUGACCAGCUACGUUUCAAAGUAUGAGAUGUGGCUCGACAGUAUUUAUAUCGCCAAUGGCAAGCGCACCAAGUUCACUAAAAGCAACAAGCAGGGCAGGGUCAAAGUCAUUAUGUUCACCAUGAUGCAGAUUGCCAUCACAUUCAGACCCAAAGAUCUAGGAACUAUGAACUUGAUUAAAAGGGCAGGGUCAAAGUCAAGACCCGGGUUAGUGGCGACGAUGAUGGUGGCCUGCAGGCUAUGGGUCUAGCAGCGUUGCAGGCAGUAGUGUGCAGCAUUUUACGGUAGGGCGUGUGACCAGUGAUGGAGGGCUCGCGGCGGCUGCAGAUGGUGGAGUACUGGACUUGUGGUGGGCACCCAUUCAUAAGAUCUACAACAUCAUCUUUGGGUCAGUUCUAUAUGAAGGCCAUCCUGCGAUAAAAGGUUGCGCCUUCCUGCUAUUUGGGUGACGACGCCGAGCCUGUCGGCCUAUGCCCAUCGCUCCUGAUGUGGUAAUGUGGCGGUCAUUGUUGUUUGCCUGCAGAGCCUGUGGAGAGGUGGGACUUGCAGAGUAUAUGUAGCAGAAAGGAUCCAAGUAUUGGAGCCAAACAACUGUCUAUGCUACCACAUCAAGGUGGGUUGAUGCAAAUAAAGUAAGGACAGGAAUAUACAGUAGCAGAAAGAUCAAGCAGCUUGGUUGCUCUUUCAUUGAACUGGAUGGAAGCGUGCAUGAGUUCUUUGCAGGGAACCAGUCACAUUUUGAAAAUGAAGCUAUAUACAACACUGUUUUAGGGAUUAAUGAACUGUUAGUAGCAGAGUCCUUCCUGAUGUGAAAGCUAAUACAUUUCUAUGGUAACCAUACAUCAGUACCUAUGAUUAAAUAAUCUUCUUUUUAUGAAAUGAUGAAACCCGAAGUAUUCUACGUAUGUCAUGAGCCACUUAAUGUGCAACUGAAUGCACACUGUUAUCAAAAUUUUAUUGGUCCAGCUGAGAUGUUUCCUUCUGGUAUUGCAAUUUGUGCGAGGUAAUACCCACAGUUUUUGUUGUGAUGUUACUAUGUCAGAAAAUUACAUGUCCACUGCAUCACUUAUUUGUUAUUCUCUCAUGUUCUUGUCUGACCGUUAUAUUUUUGCUCUGAACUUACUACCCCAGCUUUGGUUUCUCUGGCUUAAACUAAUCUGGAAGCAGGGUAUCAUGUGCCCGCUCACCUGUUGGUGCGGCUGGUGGAUACAGAGAGAUCAACGAUGAGGAGACCCUCGCCGUUCUUCCGAUUGCAGCCAGUUGCGGGAUGUGAUGGCGGAGUUGUUCUGCAACCGCCCAGGGGCCAUGGACGAUGGAGAACUUCCUAACGCAGUAUGCGAGCGAGGACGAUGGAGAACUUCCUGGCGCAGUGUGCGCGCGAGUGGGUUUCAGGACAGUUCAUGGUACAAGGUCAAGCUCAGACUGGUGGGGCACGAUCACCAUGGCCAACUUUGAGUCUUUGAGCCCAGCAUCAAGUUGGAAAGCUUUAUCUAAGAUGUGUUUUUUAGCUGUGCCCUUUUAUGUCUUAGUUUGGUUUCUGAAUUUUCGGGCGGCGCUUAUGGUUUAAGAUCAAUACAGCAUUUUGCUUCAUUUGUGCUUCAAAGAAAGUUGCUGCAUAGGGACAUUUGAUGUGGUGUGUUUCAGAGAAUCACUUUAGGGUAUUGCAUUCCAUUCAGAAAUUUUGACAUUUGGACAGUGUGUACAAUUGAAAGGAAGAGCUAGAUAUGAGUUAUGUAGGUUCAGCGUUUCAAGUUGUUGACAAUUUUUUAUGUUUAUCCUGGCAGAAAAGUGGAGCAGCUGUGUUAAGAGGUUGAUUAAUUGAAGGGAAUCAUCCAAAAGCUGUUACUAUCUUUCAUGCAUAAAAAUUAUUUUGGAGGAUGCAUAGAUUGGAGAGAUUAUGGAUUGCCACAAGCUUAUGUGUGUCAAUGGUAGUUAUCUGUGUAUUAGAAUAUGGAUACAGGCUUUAGCCUGUUUUGAAAUAUAAGGUCAGGAGCCA
Molecule: ribosomal RNA, 2726 nt
Filed under: Triticum aestivum (bread wheat)
Lineage: Eukaryota; Viridiplantae; Streptophyta; Magnoliopsida; Poales; Poaceae
Description: partial small subunit ribosomal RNA
Source: RNAcentral